UCAGUAAAGCUCAAAAAUAAAAGAAUGUACUUUAAUUUAAUGAUUGUGUUACUAUUGCGACAUCAAACUAGUUCGUUGUAUGCAAAUUUUUACAUUGUGCAGUAAAUAAGCAGAAUUGUUUCUACAUCCAUGUGGUCUACAGGGCUUUUCGGAACAACUUGCCAGGAAAAAAAUAACUUUCAUAUGAAAUUUUACAAAGAAUCAAAAAAUUGUUAACAUACGGAAAUUUUACGAAUCAAAUUAUCAAUAUAUUAUACGAAAAGGUAUAUUAUAUAUAUUGUUUCAAGAUGGUGUUGAAGAGAAAAGUAAAAUGUAAAAAAGUAUCUGGACUCAUCGAGGGAGAAAUAAUGAUACAACAGAUUCUUCGGCAAUUUCGCAGCUUCCUGUAUAGAAUUUUCUUAAAAGCCAGAGAGUAAUGGAAAAUCAGAAUUUUCACAGCAUCGCCUUCACGGAAAUAUUUACAAAAGAUUCUAUCCCCGAUGGCUUGUAGUGUCACGUACUUCAAAGAUAAGGACAAAAGUAAAAAAGGGUAUCUUGAAGGACACAGAAUCCACACAGACUUUUUAGAACUCGGUCUAUUUUUACGGUUAUUUUUCACAUUUUCUGAAUGGAAAUUUAACUUGAAAGUAGGGAUCUCCGAGGGCUAUUUAGUUUGAAAGAAUCUCCUUGAAGCUGAUCUUUAUUAAGCGAGCAUGGCGUGUGCGAUGAUGGUUCGACUUUGAAAUUGCAUCAAUUUAAAUGACCUUCAUAGGGAGAGACCCCGCCUUAUGCCCUCAGCUGCUUCAUUUAAUUAAAGGCUUUUAACUUAUAAUCAAUUAAGGAAUUCCUGGACCUAAAUCGACGACUAAUUUCUGACCAGUGACACUUGGAAAGAAAGGAAAGCAAAAUUCCUUUUUAAAAGAAGGAAAAGUUAUAAAAAAAUAAAACACUUUGAUUAAAAUUGAAAUGAAAUAAUUAAAAGUGAACUAAAAGUAUGUUGCAAAUUAAAAGUGUUUGUGGACAAUUUGUUAGUUUCGAGUCA
Molecule: long non-coding RNA, 1021 nt
Organism: Leptopilina boulardi
Lineage: Eukaryota; Metazoa; Arthropoda; Insecta; Hymenoptera; Figitidae
Exons: 5
Source: RefSeq, a predicted model, not a curated record